Non-coding RNA from Meleagris gallopavo (turkey), 344 nucleotides. The record is from RefSeq and is a predicted model, not a curated record. Lineage: Eukaryota; Metazoa; Chordata; Aves; Galliformes; Phasianidae.
CAGGUGAGUAUCUUUCUCACCUUCCUCACUGCCUCAGGCCAGAACAGCUUGGCUCCAUAGUGACUGUCCCAGCUUGUGGGUGCAAGGCCACAGUGUGGUACUGUCCUUUUCCCCACUCACAUUGUCCAGUGGUUGUGGGUACUGUGAAUUAUGCAGCUCUUUUCUAUACUGAGAAGGGGUUGGAAGAGGAUCUCCUCACCAGCAGAGAAGCCCUGACCCUUCUGCCUAAGUCCUUUGGCAGAGUUGUUCCUCUGAGUGUUGCAGUACAGUACAAUUGGUGCUAAUCCAAUGGGUGGAGCUCUCUGACUUUCACAGACUUACUGGAAAAUAAAUCCUUGCUUUCA